UGGAAAGUGAAUUCCUCAGAACUCCACGAAC
Molecule: non-coding RNA, 31 nt
Filed under: Homo sapiens (human)
Lineage: Eukaryota; Metazoa; Chordata; Mammalia; Primates; Hominidae
Source: RNAcentral